This 171-nucleotide small RNA is filed under the name Oxalobacteraceae bacterium. RNAcentral describes it as "Manganese sequence". It matches the Rfam family "Manganese Mn2+ riboswitch aptamer (yybP-ykoY)". Rfam says of the family: This RNA was originally discovered in E. coli during a large scale screen and was named SraF. The family was later found to exist upstream of related families of protein genes in many bacteria, including the the yybP and ykoK genes in B. subtilis. The record is from RNAcentral. Lineage: Bacteria; Pseudomonadati; Pseudomonadota; Betaproteobacteria; Burkholderiales; Oxalobacteraceae.
CGGCCACUCUUUGGGGAGUAGCCUGCUGUUGUCGACAGACAAUAGCGCUCACGUCAACAUACUCGGUACUCCUACCGUGGCGUGCGCACCUUUCGGUUGGCGAGACCAGAGACAUUUCCGCGUUGGGGUUGGGCGCGCGGUGAUGUCUUUGAUCCUGCGCCCGGCCUGAAG